AUGCUUAUAGGGAUGGGAAGAACAUGUGUGUUUGUUCAUCAUGGGGACAAAGACGCAUUCUUGAAAGGCAAUAUUGAACCUGACCCGGAUGAGCUUGACAUGGUGUUUGAUAGUAGUCCUAGCUAUGCGAAGCUCUUGCAACAAGUGAGGAAAGAUUUAAAUUGGAUGGACCCUAGUGAUAUCGUUGAGUUGGAGGGAAGGCAUAAUGUAGGUUUUGGAAUGCACAUCCGUUGGAAGACAAUGCGUGUCAACUCGAAGCAACGUUGGGUUGCAUACAAGGAAACGGUGGCCGAAUCACUUGACAAGGCUCUUGAGUUAUUUGCAACGAAGAAGGUUGAUUCAAGUUUGCAUUUGGACUUGAACCGGAACCCCUCCCCUUUGGUUGAUAGUAGCCCCCCACCCUUGAAGCGAGAUGAAAUUGUUGAACCUCUUUUGACCCAAGAAGUGGGGCCAACAUUGAGUCCGUUUACAAACAACCAAGAUGAAGCUUUGCAAGAGGACAAUGAUGAGUAUGCGGACGAUGACAAUGAAGUUGAUCUCCAUGACAACAAUGUGGGUGAUCUCGACAAAUAUCAUUUGCAAGAGACAAUGGACCAUUCCAUCCCUUUUUCCCGUGCAUAUGCAUCGGACUCGGAUGACGAUGGUCCCGAUGAACAAGUUGAUGCGGAGGGGUUCACGGUGAAGGAGGCCGAAGCUUUCGAGAAGGUAUUCGGUCGGGAUCAUUGGACUACAUUGUUCAAGGAUGUUAGUCUCGCGUAUGAAGCCGUGGUAGAUGGUGGCCAAUGUGUAUCUCUUGGGGUUAGGCCAAGCUCUCACCGUGAUUUGGGAGACGACAAGAACCGGAUUGCUAAAGGGUCUAAGUUCGAAACCUUGUUGGAAUUGAAGAUGUGGCUCGACAACUACUCGGUUACGCAUUAUCGUCCACACAAGGUGGUGAACUCGGACGUCAAUGUGCGCUACACGGUUGCAUGUGCAAGUGAAGAUGAAAUAUGUCCGUGGAUUGUGCGUGCAAGACCAUGGAAAGGAGGUCCAACUUGGCAUGUAGUGAGUUGUGUGCCAACUCACAUGUGCCAAGGAAAAAGGGUGGAUGGCAAGAUCGUGUCCCAAGACCACAAACAACUCACGUCCGAGUUCAUCGCUUACAGGCUCUCUCCAACUCAAUAUCCACACUUCCAACAAUGA
Molecule: ribosomal RNA, 1182 nt
Filed under: Triticum aestivum (bread wheat)
Lineage: Eukaryota; Viridiplantae; Streptophyta; Magnoliopsida; Poales; Poaceae
Description: partial small subunit ribosomal RNA
Source: RNAcentral